Molecule: non-coding RNA, 73 nt
Organism: Parelaphostrongylus tenuis
Lineage: Eukaryota; Metazoa; Nematoda; Chromadorea; Rhabditida; Metastrongylidae
Source: the annotation of a GenBank genome assembly
GCCUCGGUGGUGUAGUGGUAGAGCACGCGUACCUGCAUAGGAUGAAACGCGGGUUCGGUUCCCGCCUAAGGCC